GCGAGGGACGUGGGAGGGGCGGCGCUGCGUCGCGGCUACGGGGAGGGGGAUGGCGGUUUGCGGGGUCACGGUCGGCCCCGAGGCCCGAGAGGGUUCGGUCCCGAGCAGCCGUUGGCGUCGGGCGCCCUGCCCGCGCUUCCCUAGGGACUCGCGGAGAGGUGCAGCCGCGCCCGGUGAAGCAGGUGCCCGGCCCGUAGGAGCAGCGGGCGUCCGGCUCCAGCGGCUCCAGCGAGCCCCGAACCCAGGGAAUCCCAAGGCAGGCAGGCAGCUGCACCCCAGGAGGCUCACAGCAGCUGGGAGUGGAGGGGCUGGAGGUCAUCCGGACAUCUUGGAGGUCAUCUGGGCUCCUAGCAUCCGGACCUCGUCCAGCCCUGCUUGCGACCCACAGACCCAGAUCGAUACGGCCUCGAAGAUGCAGCUCCCAGGGAUUAAGCAUCCAAGGCUUGAGACCUGAGCGGGUUUAAAGGCCACAAAGGGACUGAAUCAAGAUAGCAGCCUGUGCGAUUCCUAGCAGCCACCUCUCCUGUCCUCAAUCCCUGGAAAUGACACAGUAAAAAAAAAAAAAAAAAAA
Non-coding RNA from Microcebus murinus (gray mouse lemur), 571 nucleotides. The record is from RefSeq and is a predicted model, not a curated record. Lineage: Eukaryota; Metazoa; Chordata; Mammalia; Primates; Cheirogaleidae.